GAGCAAUUCAGUAGUAUUCAGUGCAUCACCAUGUUAUACAGAUGUCACUGUCAGCUAGUUCCAAAUUUUUCUAUCACCAAUUUUAUCAUCUGCAAUGUCAUAGGUAGCCAACAGUGCACUUUCCAUGUCUGCAGGUUUCUCUGCUUUGAGAAAUGUAUGUGAAUGAAAUCAUACAAUAUAUAACUUUUGACUUCAGGCUUCUUUCACUUAGUAUGUACCUCUCUUCCUCUUUACAGGUGAGUAAUACUCCAUUGCAUGGAUACAGGACCUCCCGUCAGACCUGAUGGCACUCAGUGCUUUAAGAGGACAAGACACUUAACCUCUCUGAGCCUCAGUCUCCUAAACUCUAAGAUGGGAAUAGUAAUAAGAAUUUGGAUACAUUCAUGACAGAGGUCUGUGAACCUUUAUCACAAAGUUGUGAGGAACUACAGUCAGGAGGCUGAGGCAGGAUUGCAAGUUGGAGCCCAGCUUGGGCCACGUAGGAACUGAGUAAGGCCCUGUCUCAGAAUAAGAAAUAAAGAAAGGCUGGAGGCACAACUUCAUACCUUAGUGUGAAGGAUCUGCACACCUUCACACCUUAGUGUGAAGGCUCUGCAUUCAAUCCCCAGGAUUAUAAAAAGAAAAAAAGAAAAAAGAAAGAAAGAAAAGAAAAGAAAUAAGAAAGAAAGAAAAGAAGAAAGAAAGAAAAAGAAAGAAAGAAGGAAAGAAAGAAAGAAAGAAAAGAAAGAAAGAAAGAAAAGAAAAGAAAAGAAAGAAAGAAAGAAAGAAAGAAAAAAAAAGAAAGAAAGAAAAAAGAGGAGCUACACGUAAACUUUCUCCUUCUGUUCCGCCAGCCUAGAGGAGGCGCUGGGCGGGAGCCACCCUCCUUCCCCGGGGCAGCUGGAGCGCAGAGCAGCAGGCUGCUGGCUGAGCUCCCGCGAGGACAGGCAGCAGGACGCUGUCCCAGGACAGAAGCCUGGUCGAGAGCAAGGCAGGGCCUCUGGAGACCCCGAGAAACGCCUGCGGCUCCUUCAGCCCACCCAGCAGCUUCUGCGCUGGGAGAGGAACAGGUACCAGCGCCCCCCACGCGCUCGCCUGGCUGUCUGCCCUGUGGCGCCGGACCGGCUCUCCUGUCGCCGGAUGCCUGGCGCGCUCUGGAAUUUGCUGAGAGAAGCCAACUUGGCUCUUUGCGCCUCUACUUAGGGACAGUUAAUAAUGUCCCAGCCCUGUCUCCUCGUGGGUCUGGCACAGGCCGACGGCACACUCUGCAAGGCCUCCGCUCUCCCUUCCGGUCAGUUGGACUCUACGCCUCCACCUUAGCCAACUCUGGGACCCCAGCGCGACCCCCAAGCAAGCGGCGCUUGGGCAGCUCUGGGAAGUGCGCGUGUUGAGUCUGCACUGGGUCAGGGCGGUCAGCUGGCUACGCCUAGGGAUCCCGAUGCAGUUCGCAAGCUUGCUUCUUUAUUCCCAAAUCCAAGAAAACACAACCUCUGCCUCUUAAACCUGUUCAUUCUCUGAUGCCUGCAGACUUUACCGAUAGAGGUUAUUUGCUACUACCAUUAAAUAAAAUAUCUGCCAUUUGCUCUCUGUCAAUCACAGGUAUGCUUUAUGAACAGCUUACUAUGUACCAGCUGUUAUUCUUCACACUUUUCGCACGCACUAUCUUAUUUAAUCUAACAGCACUAUGCAUAAGUACUCUUAGUUCUGUGU
Chinchilla lanigera (long-tailed chinchilla) is the source of this 1689-nucleotide long non-coding RNA. Lineage: Eukaryota; Metazoa; Chordata; Mammalia; Rodentia; Chinchillidae. The record is from Ensembl.